UCCGACUUGGAGCCGGCAGUCUCUUAUGAAAUAUACAACAUAAGACAUGGGUUGCGCUCGUUUACGGACUUAACCGAACACCUCAAGGCACGAGCUGACGACGACCAUGCAGCACCUGUCAUCCGGUUCCUUACGGCACCCCUCCAUUUCUGGUGGGUUCCGGAGAUGUCAAGCCUUGGUAAGGUUCCCCGUUUAUUGUCGAAUUAAACCACAUGCUCCACCGCUUGUGUGGGUCCCCGUCUAUUCCUUUGAGUUUUAAUCUUGCGACCGUACUCCCCAGGCGGGAUACUUAACGCGUUAGCUUAGACACAGAAAGGGGUCGAUUCCUUCCUACAUCGAGUAUCCAUCGUUUACGGCGUGGACUAC
Molecule: unclassified non-coding RNA, 366 nt
Filed under: uncultured bacterium
Lineage: Bacteria
Description: contains 16S-23S intergenic spacer region
Source: RNAcentral